Catharus ustulatus (Swainson's thrush) is the source of this 1942-nucleotide long non-coding RNA. RefSeq lists it as uncharacterized. The transcript has 3 exons. The record is from RefSeq and is a predicted model, not a curated record. Lineage: Eukaryota; Metazoa; Chordata; Aves; Passeriformes; Turdidae.
AUGCCGAGCCCGAAAACGCCGGCAUGGAGCACAGGGAAGGGAUUAUUUACCGCACAAAUGCGAGAUAAAAGGGAGAGGAGAGGUGUGGACGGCGCGGGAGCCGCGCGGCCAAGAUGGAGUCCAGCAGUUAAGAAGAACCCAGCACUCCUGUCUCUGGAUAAUAUCUUUCACUGGAUUAGAUGAAAUAAAAAUGGAACCCCUGCUAUUUCAAGAGCAGUCUAGGAGGACAACACCCAGCCAGGCCCUGACCAUGAGGUUAUCAAAAAGUGAGAGGAGAUGGAAUUCACUGCUAGAAAAUGAACAAGGAGUUACAAACUUGAGUUUCCAUGGGACCAGCCACAGGUUUUGCUCUUCUCCCCAUCCCAUGUCCAUGCUGGACCUCUCAGAGAGAAGGAGCAGCAGUGAUGCCAGAAACAUCUAUGGGACAAAUCUGGAGAACUGGCACCUGCUUUCCCAGGACUGGCCUGCAGCUGCUUCCCUGCAAGUGGGAAUUAUGUCGCUGGGGAAUGAAUGGUUGGACUCAGUGAUGUUAAUUAAAGGUUUCUUAACAAUUCUAUGUCUCUUACAUGGAUCUGUGUAUGGAAAUGUGCAAAAUCCUCAGUGUGAGAGUCAUUGUGGCUGGGGAGCUUCAGCCAGAGAGGAACUGGGACAGGGUGAGGGAUCCCUUCAGGGCUGUGGCUUCUCCUGCCCUCACAGCUCACACACAGUCCCCAGGCUGGUGAAACUCCUCUCCCCAUCCCUUCACCACUUCCAACAACCUAGAGCACAAUUUCUGCCUCUCCUUUCACCAUUUGCACAAUACUUUGGUUAAUUCUGGCUUUGUUCACUCAAAAAAAAAAAAAAAAGUGAUUGACUAAAAAAAAAGUGAUAGACUAAAAUCUUUGUUUUUCUAAUGAAUAAUACCAGGAGGAUUUCUGGGGCACAGGACUCCAGAAUGACAUUUCCAAAUCUUUCCAGCAACUCCAUGGCAUUAAGGUAAUUAAUUGUGAAACUACACUCUGCAACAGCAAUUGAAAAUAGCAUUGAGAAGACACUCAUAAAGCAGAGAAGAGCCUGGAAUCUGCCUGCUUGUUCUUUCUCCAGAGCUUCUGUGCACAGUAACAGCCAUCAGGCUCUAUAAAUGCUGCUUGUUUUUCCCUGAGACAGCUGCCUUGCCUGCAAUGGAGGAAGCUCCACAAAGGGAGCAGCUAUUCAGUGUUCCCUUCAUUCAUCAGUGCCUUAUCUGUCAUUCCAGCCCUGCUCUAGAACCACAAACUCCCUCCCAGGCCUUUUCCCAUUCCCCUCACUGCUGCAGGGAAUCAGUCAGGGCUCCUUAAAACCUGGAUGUCAGCUUGAAUUCCUCUGGAUCCAAGUAUUUCCCGCGGCUGGAAUCCCCUUUUUCUUUCCUAGAAGUGUUUCUUUUUUUCCCAGUUAGAUACGAAAAACCCCUGUGGAGAGAACUUUUUCUUCUGGCCAUCCCUCACACAGCCCUGCUUAUUUAUCCACUGUGCUGCCUGAGGACUUUGCUUCCAUCAAAGAAAAGCAAAUUCAUUAAUUCCUUUCCUCCAGGAAUGUCAGCAUGUUCGUAGAAUCAGAGUCACAGAAUGCCUCAAGUUGGAAAGAACUCAUAAGGAUCAUCCAAGUCCAAUUUCUUCUGUCCCCUACAUUCAUCCUGCUUAGGUGAUCCCCCUUCCCAGCUUUUUGCAUCUUCUUCCUCCCUUUCUGCUUUUUCCAUCUAAACUUUCCUUCCACUUCCACUCCCCAAAUAAACCCAGGUUCUUGUCCCCUAAGAGAGGCUGAUUCAUGGUCUGACGUCAGCAGCUGCUCUCCUGGCCAGAGCCAGCUGGAAUUGACACAUUCCAGCUGCUGCCAGCAGCAGUGUCCCUUGUCCCCUGAGCCACCCCAGCUGCAGGGGCUGGUGGCAGGGAGGGAACGUGCCCAGCUGUGCCUCCAGAGGUGGAAA